GUUUCAAAUAGAGCUUCUACGUUUGCCGGUCGUUAUGCGUUGGUUUGUAUUUGUUAAAGAUGGAUUCCAGUUCAGGUGACGUGAUCCGGUCACUGCAAGACUCCAUUGCGCGCUUGCCAGCACACCGGAUACAGGAAGACUUACAGAGCCACUUGCAGACAAUUGUCCUGGGUGAUGGGAGCCAUCAAGAUUCCAAAGCACCGUUAAUGGCCCACACUUUGCAUAAUUACAAUAGGCCUGAGCGUUAUAGUUCAGAUGGCUAGUUCCAGACCCAAGAGUGAGUGAAGUAAACCAGCCUGCUGAAUCCAUGAGCCCCCAGCAAACCCUACAGAAAAGCACCAUCAGGGGAACCACCCACCUGCUGAGCUCGAGCUUUACCAGUCUGGCACAACGAGUCACAGGCUGCAUCAACAGCGCUACGGGGUGCAGGCGACUGACACAGUAACCACAGGCCUUUGACUCCAGGAGCCACCACCAAGAGUCUCAGCCAGAGCAUCCCCAGUGCCCCCCGAGGGGUCUCACUCUCCCAUUGACGACUGCAUGUGGGGCUGCUCCCGGCCGCGCACUCCCCUUGCUAGCCCAGGACAGACAGCGCCCGCCCCUCCCCCCCGGUGCUCUCCGGGGCUCCCCCACAGUGGUGGGGCCAACCAAGCUCCAUCCCCAAGCCCUGUUACGAGUAGGCCUGGAGACGCAGGGCCCUGGAGCCUGCUUGGCGCUCAAGGUAGGGGACAAUCUAAGGGCAUCUUGCCAAGCUGGGGCCCGAGGGAGCCAGGGACCGGGAGCCAGGCCCUGGUGGCUCAGGCUCUGGCCCCACCCGUCUGAGGCUGGGGAGCUCUCGGCCCCAGGAGGAGCCCACCUGCCCUGCCCUGCCCUGCCCUGCGGAGGUGUGGCACGGCCAGCGUGCAGGAAGGGGGCAGGAGGGCGAGGGACCCGCAGGCUGCAGCUUGGCUCCUUGGCCAGCGGGACGAUGCCAGCCUCCCGGCCAGUUACCUGGGGAUGGGAAAGCCCGGCCUGAGAGACCCUGCCACGAGCGCGCCGGAGCCUGGCAGCAAGCGGGCCUCCCGCUGCGCCGCAGGGCAAACCGGGCCAGCUGGAGCCACGGGCCACCACCCAGCAGCCCCCUCACCAGGGCAGAGCCUGUCUGCCAUGGGAGUGAGCGGCCCAGAGCAUGCUGGGUAAGUGACCCUCACUCCAGCACCGCCCCCCACCAGGGGCAAACCCCUAGGGGGACCAGACGCCCCGAUUUUAUAGGGACAGGCCCGAUUUCGGGGGCUUUUUCUUAUAUCGGCUCCUAUU
This is a long non-coding RNA of Mauremys mutica (yellowpond turtle), 1296 nucleotides long. RefSeq lists it as uncharacterized. The transcript is spliced from 3 exons. The record is from RefSeq and is a predicted model, not a curated record. Lineage: Eukaryota; Metazoa; Chordata; Testudines; Geoemydidae.